UGGGGAAUAUUGCACAAUGGGGGAAACCCUGAUGCAGCAACGCCGCGUGAGCGAUGAAGGCCUUCGGGUCGUAAAGCUCUGUCCUAUGGGAAGAACAAAUGACGGUACCAUAGGAGGAAGCCCCGGCUAACUACGUGCCAGCAGCCGCGGUAAUACGUAGGGGGCAAGCGUUAUCCGGAAUCACUGGGCGUAAAGGGUGCGUAGGCGGUCGACAAAGUCUGGGGUGAAAGGCUACGGCUCAACCGUAGUAAGCCUUGGAAACUUGUUGACUUGAGUGCAGGAGAGGUAAGUGGAAUUCCUAGUGUAGCGGUGAAAUGCGUAGAUAUUAGGAGGAACACCAGUGGCGAAGGCGACUUACUGGACUGUAACUGACGCUGAGGCACGAAAGCGUGGGGAGCAAACAGGAUUAGAAACCCCAGUAG
RNAcentral lists this ribosomal RNA (422 nucleotides) under uncultured bacterium. RNAcentral's name for it is "bacterial SSU rRNA". It matches the Rfam family "Bacterial small subunit ribosomal RNA", at positions 355 to 793 of the family's 1533-position model. The record is from RNAcentral.